GCCUGCUUAGCUCAGAUGGAUAGAGCAACUGCCUUCUAAGCAGUGGGUCAGAGGUUCGAAUCCUCUAGCGGGUA
This 74-nucleotide transfer RNA is filed under the name Candidatus Cloacimonadota bacterium. RNAcentral describes it as "Candidatus Cloacimonetes bacterium tRNA-Arg". It matches the Rfam family "tRNA". From Rfam's summary of the family: Transfer RNA (tRNA) molecules are approximately 80 nucleotides in length. Their secondary structure includes four short double-helical elements and three loops (D, anti-codon, and T loops). Lineage: Bacteria; Pseudomonadati; Candidatus Cloacimonadota. The record is from RNAcentral.